RNAcentral lists this ribosomal RNA (514 nucleotides) under uncultured bacterium. Its description in RNAcentral is "partial 16S ribosomal RNA". It matches the Rfam family "Bacterial small subunit ribosomal RNA", at positions 28 to 523 of the family's 1533-position model. The record is from RNAcentral.
GAUGAACGCUGGCGGCGUGCCUAAUACAUGCAAGUCGAGCGAACAGAUGAGAAGCUUGCUUCUCGGAUGUUAGCGGCGGACGGGUGAGUAACACGUGGGUAACCUACCUAUAAGACUGGGAUAACUCCGGGAAACCGGGGCUAAUACCGGAUAAUAUUUUGAGCCGCAUGGUUCGAUAGUGAAAGACGGUUUUGGCUGUCACUUAUAGAUGGACCCGCGCCGUAUUAGCUAGUUGGUAAGGUAACGGCUUACCAAGGCGACGAUACGUAGCCGACCUGAGAGGGUGAUCGGCCACACUGGAACUGAGACACGGUCCAGACUCCUACGGGAGGCAGCAGUAGGGAAUCUUCCGCAAUGGGCGAAAGCCCGACGGAGCAACGCUGCGUGAGUGAUGAAGGUCUUCGGAUCGUAAAACUCUGUUGUUAGGGAAGAACAAAUUUGUUAGUAACUGAACAAGUCUUGACGGUACCUAACCAGAAAGCCACGGCUAACUACGUGCCAGCCGCCGCAGUAA